RNAcentral lists this ribosomal RNA (402 nucleotides) under uncultured Sphingomonas sp. Its description in RNAcentral is "bacterial SSU rRNA". It matches the Rfam family "Bacterial small subunit ribosomal RNA", at positions 355 to 774 of the family's 1533-position model. The record is from RNAcentral. Lineage: Bacteria; Pseudomonadati; Pseudomonadota; Alphaproteobacteria; Sphingomonadales; Sphingomonadaceae.
UGGGGAAUAUUGGACAAUGGGCGAAAGCCUGAUCCAGCAAUGCCGCGUGAGUGAUGAAGGCCUUAGGGUUGUAAAGCUCUUUUACCCGGGAAGAUAAUGACUGUACCGGGAGAAUAAGCCCCGGCUAACUCCGUGCCAGCAGCCGCGGUAAUACGGAGGGGGCUAGCGUUGUUCGGAAUUACUGGGCGUAAAGCGCACGUAGGCGGCUUUUUAAGUCAGAGGUGAAAGCCCGGGGCUCAACUCCGGAACUGCCUUUGAGACUGGGAGGCUUGAACGUCGGAGAGGUGAGUGGAAUUCCGAGUGUAGAGGUGAAAUUCGUAGAUAUUCGGAAGAACACCAGUGGCGAAGGCGGCUCACUGGACGACUGUUGACGCUGAGGUGCGAAAGCGUGGGGAGCAAACA